This is a long non-coding RNA of Biomphalaria glabrata, 844 nucleotides long. RefSeq lists it as uncharacterized. Lineage: Eukaryota; Metazoa; Mollusca; Gastropoda; Planorbidae. The transcript has 2 exons. The record is from RefSeq and is a predicted model, not a curated record.
ACAAAGAGGUGGACCUAAUUAUCUUGCACAUUAUUAUUAUUGAGAAUGUGUCAGUGGCAGGAUCAAACUUGGAGAAAAAAAAGAGGGGGAGGGAGUAGAACGGGGCCAUUUGAAGUAGAACUAAUUGAGCAAAGAUUCGAUCCAGCAACCCUCUACCCCAUACCACCCCACCUGCACCACUCAAGAAACAUCUCUUGUGGUACGUAUCAUGUGGAAAAGGAGGGGGGAGGGGGCAAUAUCGAGUUGAGGUUCAUCUACCAACAGAGAGCGUCAGGUGGCGUUGGAUCUGUUACCAUAUUUAGUUCGAUGAGCCUCGUGGUCAUUUACUGCUAGUCGAUGGACUGUCUCACCCACACGAGGUACAGAGCUGCAAGAGUUGAUUGCACUGUACAGGCGAGAGAAGAAUGGCGACAGAGAAUGAAGUGACCUGAGAGAGAAACCAAUGAGAGGACACAAUUUAUUUAUUUUUUAAGAUGGGAGGACAUGAACUUUCCAUGCUUCAUAUAAGUUUGGUCAGAAAUGAUUCAAAUCUAUGUAGGUAAGUGACACUAGAGGGUGUGGUGGCUGAGGGGUAAGGCGCUUGGCUUACGAACCGAGAGUCCACCCGGCACACUUGGACUUCAGGUGAGGAAAGUAGGUUGGUCGUUGUGCUGGCCACAUAAUACCCUGGUCGUUAAACUUUGGCCAAAGAAACAGAUAACCUUUCAUCAUCUGCCUACUGUUCGACAGGAAAAAAAUGGCUAGAAGAAGAAGGGGGUACUUUACUUUUAAGUGACAAUAAUAAUAUGCAGACCUGGCCGGGAAAUUCCUCAGUGGACACUGUUAAAGGGACUACAAUAAAUGU